RNAcentral lists this long non-coding RNA (618 nucleotides) under Mytilus galloprovincialis (Mediterranean mussel). Lineage: Eukaryota; Metazoa; Mollusca; Bivalvia; Mytilida; Mytilidae. The record is from RNAcentral.
CUGGGCGAUAUGUAACAAUUUUUUUAUUGUUAAGGAAUUCAUAUAACUGUGUACAUACAUGUCUUUCGAAAAUUUUAGAUAUGGUAUUCAAAAUAGAAAUUGGACGAUAAUUUGAGGGAAUAUCUCUUGGUCCUCCUUUAUGUAUAGCAGUUACUCUUGCAAGUUUUAAUUUUUGCGGAAAACGAUAACAAUAGUAUCGGGCACGUUUGGGGGUUUUGAAAUCGGACACGUUUGGGGAAUAUUGAAUAUUAUGGACACGUUUGGGGAGAAUAGACACGUUUGGGUGAUUCGGACAAAUCGGACACGUUUGGGGGGAAGGACACGUUUAGGAGUGUUACAUAUAUAAAGGUUGAGGAUAUACACGGAUGUGGUCACUUUUAUUUUUGACAAAAAACAUCUGAAAAGUGACGUUUUUUGGCAUAUUUGAGAGAUUUUUCAUAUUGAAGCUUGAAUCGGAGCGUUUUUAAUGACUAAAUCAGUUAAAAUCUUCCACAAAAACUAAUCAAAUCAAUUGAAAUAGACACUUAAGUGUUUAAAAAGUGUCCAAAAUCUUUCGUUAGAUGAACCUGAAAUUUGAGGCCAAAAUCGGCCCUUACCGGACCUACUCUUUUACUGGAA